RNAcentral lists this long non-coding RNA (1792 nucleotides) under Lathyrus oleraceus (garden pea). Its description in RNAcentral is "Pisum sativum (pea) long non-coding RNA (PSAT_LNC035897)". The record is from RNAcentral. Lineage: Eukaryota; Viridiplantae; Streptophyta; Magnoliopsida; Fabales; Fabaceae.
AAUCUCAUCGAGCAAAAUUAAUUUGUUUUCUUAAUUGUCCCGUAAUUUGAACAAAAUAAUAUGUUGAAAGUAUUCUUUGGAUUCAUAAAUGGUUUUUACGAUAUUUUAAAAAAACACCCAUACCAACAAUAAAUAGAGUGAUUAUGUUAAAAAUUAAAAUCUCUUUAUUAGAAAUUUUAAAAUUUGUUAGAAAAUUAACAUUUCAUGUGCUAGGGAUGAAUUUCAAAUAAAAUGAUUAAAGAAAUAUGAAUAUCAUAAUUCUAUAUCUAUUUCAAAUGAAUGGUUAGGACAUGACGUACAAAAUAAAUUUUCUUCAAUAUUUUUUUCUUUGCUCUUAAUUUACAAAUAAUUUCAAAAGGUAGUGACCAUUGUGACGUUAGAGACAUUAAUCAACUUAUGCUUUAAAGUAUUAAAAACAUUUAAACAUUCAUUUGCUAAAGUGGAAAGGAAUACUUUUUACAAAUAAAUUAGGAAAAGUUUUUUCUAUUUCAAAAUUUAUUUAAUAAUUGUUCUAUAAAAACCUUUUUGUCCCAAAACAAAUCUACUGCGUUUUUCAAUGAUGGGAGGAGCAAAUUUUCUAACUACUUUAAUUUUUUAUUGGUCAACCUCAAUAUAUUUGGGAUGGAUUCGAUCAUCUAAAACAAUUUUCUUUGUCAUCAUAACCUAUGAUUUGUCAAAACUAGAAUAAAUAAUACCCAUUCAAAACGUAUUAUGGUACCACUAGAUUUUGUCAUCUUGAAAUAAAAUUUUAUGCAUUCAAAACGUGGUGAUGACACAUCUUGACACCCUAUCCCACUAUAUAUUUCAAGGGUUUUCUUUAAUAAUUCAAUUAUGUUUGUGAAGUUGCAUGUUGUAUGUCUAUCUCAUGGAUAAAAAGUUUUAAUUUUAUUUUUUUUAUCUUUUGAUUUUUAUUUAUAUUGUUAUUGAGUCUCCUCUAUGAUUGCACGUCUCAUGGUUGAUUUUUAAAUCUGUUUUAAGCAUGCAUGAUGACACUAUGUGAUCAUGAAUUUUUUUAAAGCAUUUACGUAUAUUUUUGAUGUUUUUUAGUAUUUUGUGUUUACGUUUUAUGAAGAAAUAGGAAGAAAAUGACAAAGUGAAGAACAAAAACAGAAAGAUGAAAAAGUGGAGAAAUUGUAAAGAAAAUAGCUUUUUCAGCACAAUUUACAUCAUGAAAUUUGUCAAAUAAUUUGAUCAUAUUUAGAGUUUCAUAAUUACGUUUGAGAUGUAACAUUUUUCAAAUGAAAGCUAACAAAAAGAUCCACUUUCUAGCAAAAUCGUGUGUGUGGCAGGUGUCAUUGUAUGCACAAAAACAAGCAUCUCAUGCACGAUGCUGACAAGGUGAAGAAUUCACAUGUGCGAUCAAAAGUAAAGUGUUCGUGACUCAUGCCUUUUUGACAAGUUUUUUGCUUCAAAUAAAAUGGAAAAACGCAUAGAAAAAAUGGGUGGAAAUUCUUGGUACAAUAUUUUGAUGGCGAACCAAAUUCUGGAUUGAAGAUUUUCAUUAUUAGAAGGCAAAUUCUAAACAGAUAUUCAUGUAUAGUUUCAUUAUUACUUCUGAUUGCUAUUAGUAUGAAUACUUUUUUUUAUUAGGUCUUAUUAGAUAAACCUAUUUUUAUCUAUUGAGACAUAUGACUAAUUUUGUAUUAUCUGCAUAAAUUGAUAUUGCAGUUUCUAUUUUGUUACUCUUCUAUGUAAUGUCUUUUGUGUGUUGAGAACUCAUGAAUUAAACAUUCGGUUUGCAGUGAUUAGUGACCCAAACUCUAUAAACCUGAACUAGAGUAAUUUUUCAACU